RNAcentral lists this ribosomal RNA (2444 nucleotides) under Escherichia coli. Its description in RNAcentral is "partial 23S ribosomal RNA". It matches the Rfam family "Bacterial large subunit ribosomal RNA", at positions 419 to 2843 of the family's 2925-position model. Lineage: Bacteria; Pseudomonadati; Pseudomonadota; Gammaproteobacteria; Enterobacterales; Enterobacteriaceae. The record is from RNAcentral.
GGGACACGUGGUAUCCUGUCUGAAUAUGGGGGGACCAUCCUCCAAGGCUAAAUACUCCUGACUGACCGAUAGUGAACCAGUACCGUGAGGGAAAGGCGAAAAGAACCCCGGCGAGGGGAGUGAAAAAGAACCUGAAACCGUGUACGUACAAGCAGUGGGAGCACGCUUAGGCGUGUGACUGCGUACCUUUUGUAUAAUGGGUCAGCGACUUAUAUUCUGUAGCAAGGUUAACCGAAUAGGGGAGCCGAAGGGAAACCGAGUCUUAACUGGGCGUUAAGUUGCAGGGUAUAGACCCGAAACCCGGUGAUCUAGCCAUGGGCAGGUUGAAGGUUGGGUAACACUAACUGGAGGACCGAACCGACUAAUGUUGAAAAAUUAGCGGAUGACUUGUGGCUGGGGGUGAAAGGCCAAUCAAACCGGGAGAUAGCUGGUUCUCCCCGAAAGCUAUUUAGGUAGCGCCUCGUGAAUUCAUCUCCGGGGGUAGAGCACUGUUUCGGCAAGGGGGUCAUCCCGACUUACCAACCCGAUGCAAACUGCGAAUACCGGAGAAUGUUAUCACGGGAGACACACGGCGGGUGCUAACGUCCGUCGUGAAGAGGGAAACAACCCAGACCGCCAGCUAAGGUCCCAAAGUCAUGGUUAAGUGGGAAACGAUGUGGGAAGGCCCAGACAGCCAGGAUGUUGGCUUAGAAGCAGCCAUCAUUUAAAGAAAGCGUAAUAGCUCACUGGUCGAGUCGGCCUGCGCGGAAGAUGUAACGGGGCUAAACCAUGCACCGAAGCUGCGGCAGCGACGCUUAUGCGUUGUUGGGUAGGGGAGCGUUCUGUAAGCCUGCGAAGGUGUGCUGUGAGGCAUGCUGGAGGUAUCAGAAGUGCGAAUGCUGACAUAAGUAACGAUAAAGCGGGUGAAAAGCCCGCUCGCCGGAAGACCAAGGGUUCCUGUCCAACGUUAAUCGGGGCAGGGUGAGUCGACCCCUAAGGCGAGGCCGAAAGGCGUAGUCGAUGGGAAACAGGUUAAUAUUCCUGUACUUGGUGUUACUGCGAAGGGGGGACGGAGAAGGCUAUGUUGGCCGGGCGACGGUUGUCCCGGUUUAAGCGUGUAGGCUGGUUUUCCAGGCAAAUCCGGAAAAUCAAGGCUGAGGCGUGAUGACGAGGCACUACGGUGCUGAAGCAACAAAUGCCCUGCUUCCAGGAAAAGCCUCUAAGCAUCAGGUAACAUCAAAUCGUACCCCAAACCGACACAGGUGGUCAGGUAGAGAAUACCAAGGCGCUUGAGAGAACUCGGGUGAAGGAACUAGGCAAAAUGGUGCCGUAACUUCGGGAGAAGGCACGCUGAUAUGUAGGUGAAGUCCCUCGCGGAUGGAGCUGAAAUCAGUCGAAGAUACCAGCUGGCUGCAACUGUUUAUUAAAAACACAGCACUGUGCAAACACGAAAGUGGACGUAUACGGUGUGACGCCUGCCCGGUGCCGGAAGGUUAAUUGAUGGGGUUAGCGCAAGCGAAGCUCUUGAUCGAAGCCCCGGUAAACGGCGGCCGUAACUAUAACGGUCCUAAGGUAGCGAAAUUCCUUGUCGGGUAAGUUCCGACCUGCACGAAUGGCGUAAUGAUGGCCAGGCUGUCUCCACCCGAGACUCAGUGAAAUUGAACUCGCUGUGAAGAUGCAGUGUACCCGCGGCAAGACGGAAAGACCCCGUGAACCUUUACUAUAGCUUGACACUGAACAUUGAGCCUUGAUGUGUAGGAUAGGUGGGAGGCUUUGAAGUGUGGACGCCAGUCUGCAUGGAGCCGACCUUGAAAUACCACCCUUUAAUGUUUGAUGUUCUAACGUUGACCCGUAAUCCGGGUUGCGGACAGUGUCUGGUGGGUAGUUUGACUGGGGCGGUCUCCUCCUAAAGAGUAACGGAGGAGCACGAAGGUUGGCUAAUCCUGGUCGGACAUCAGGAGGUUAGUGCAAUGGCAUAAGCCAGCUUGACUGCGAGCGUGACGGCGCGAGCAGGUGCGAAAGCAGGUCAUAGUGAUCCGGUGGUUCUGAAUGGAAGGGCCAUCGCUCAACGGAUAAAAGGUACUCCGGGGAUAACAGGCUGAUACCGCCCAAGAGUUCAUAUCGACGGCGGUGUUUGGCACCUCGAUGUCGGCUCAUCACAUCCUGGGGCUGAAGUAGGUCCCAAGGGUAUGGCUGUUCGCCAUUUAAAGUGGUACGCGAGCUGGGUUUAGAACGUCGUGAGACAGUUCGGUCCCUAUCUGCCGUGGGCGCUGGAGAACUGAGGGGGGCUGCUCCUAGUACGAGAGGACCGGAGUGGACGCAUCACUGGUGUUCGGGUUGUCAUGCCAAUGGCACUGCCCGGUAGCUAAAUGCGGAAGAGAUAAGUGCUGAAAGCAUCUAAGCACGAAACUUGCCCCGAGAUGAGUUCUCCCUGACUCCUUGAGAGUCCUGAAGGAACGUUGAAG